Molecule: long non-coding RNA, 2565 nt
Organism: Triticum dicoccoides
Lineage: Eukaryota; Viridiplantae; Streptophyta; Magnoliopsida; Poales; Poaceae
Exons: 8
Source: RefSeq, a predicted model, not a curated record
CCGCACUCGCUCCUCCUCCAUCCCUCCCGUGACCACACGCCGCCGCCAUCUCCUUCAUCCAUCGGUCGCCGCCUUCGCCUACUCCUCCUCCACUCCCACUCCCGGCAGGGCAACACCCCGAGAACCUCCCCUUGACCCGCCUCUUCCUCCCAUCCAGCUAGAUUCGCGGAGCAAGGCCUCUCACGCUCGCUCGCCACCCUCAGCUGUGGCUAGGGGUUUGGGUUGGGCAUCGCCUUCGUCGCCGGUGGACUCCGGCGACUCCUCUCCGUCUCCUUCCUCGCCCCCACGUGCAGCUCCGCUUCCCGAUGGCCAUGGCGCGUGCUUGGCCUCCCGGCGCCAAGAACCAUCCCAGGCCUCGUUGCAUCUCCGGCUCUAGUGAGGCGUUCCUGGGCGACCAGAGGGAGCACGGGCGGCUUCAACGGGAGGAGCACCAGGCCAACCCUCAGCGGUUGGCGCCACCGGAUGGCGGCGGCCACCUUCUUCUUCCGGCCGCACCACACCACAGGUGGAGGCGUUCCUCUUGCUCUUCCUCAUGGUGGCAUGGCAGCACCACCGUCAAUGUCGAGCAUGGGUAGGAGAACGAUGCGGCCGUCCACAGAUAUUACACUGAAAGUGGCUUCCCAUGCCCACACCUGAGGAACAACUUCCCGAGGACAAUCAACAAAGAUUUUGACGAGGAAAUUGUAGAGAGUUCCAAAGCUAGGAGAAAAAUGGCAGCUGAAGCAAUUGAGAUUCUGACAGAUGCUUACCAGUCCCCCGCUUAUUCAGUGAAAACAAUGGACCGGAUAGCUAAGAUGAAAGGGGUAGUAAGUUGCUUACAAGCCCCAUUUAUUUUUUUCUCGAGAGUAAAGAUUGUAUUGUUUUGGCUGUACCAAAAUGUUUGGUUACAAAGAAGGGACUACCCAAAUGCGGACAAAUCUGUAUAUACCAACUGCAAAAUAAUUACUGGGGCAAAUUCAGUCGGUGAAGUACUCCCUCUAGCUCACGAAAAAGUGGUGUCUUUUACACGGCCUUCAAAAUGUAACUUUGGCAACUUGUUUUUGUUGUGGUAUAAUAUGUACAUAUAAUACCCAGUAAAAUUAUAACAUGUUGGAAAUAUUUUCUGAGAAACGCAUAUCAUUUUGGAUCUGAAUAUUCAAAACAUACUAGCCGUCAAAGUUUUCGAAGUUCAGCUCCUAAAGAAUCUCCAUUAUGAACUGGAGGGAACAACAUGUUAAUUCAGCAUCUGUACAACAUGUCAUUUUUCAUUUGAAUGAACCGGCAACAAACUUCUCGCCGUGGAGUAUACGGUGCUGGCCUAGCGAUGUUUACACAUUCAAAAUCAAAUUAUUGUUCUAGUAUUAUUGAGCUAUGUUCCAGGGUGGAACUCUAUUUAGGAAGAGGGCACAAGCGAGCUUCUCAACAAAGCUCUUUGUACUCAAUAGAAGGUCAUUUGUGAAUAUGCACAGGGACAUAGGAUACUACUGGAUGCGCUUGGGUGUUUACCUAGGCAUUGGCAUUUGUCUUGGCACCAUAUUCUACCAAGUUGGCCACAGUUACAGUUCCAUGCAGUCUAGAUGUGAAGUAAUAAUGUAUACGACGACACUUCUUACCUUCAUGGCCAUUGAAGGAUUCCCUUCUUUUGUAGAGGACGUAAAGGUAUUCAGACGGGAGAGGCCAAGUGGCCAUUACGGCGUGGCAGAGUUUGUGAUCUCAAACACAUUGUCAGCCACUCCAUACCUGGCCGUCAUCGCUGUGAUCCCUGGCGCAAUGCUGUACUACCUUACCGGGCUAAUGAAAGGACGUGACCGCUUCACCUACUUCAUCGUCAACCUGUGCAUGUGCACACUGCUGGUGGAGAGCAUGAUGAUGAUCAUCGCUGUCGUCGUCCCAGACUUCCUGAUGGGGAUCAUCGUCGAGGCCGGGGUGCAAGGGGUGAUGAUGCUCAAUGGAUUUUGUUUUCGUUGUUGAUCCUAAUUUAGAUAACACCAAAGGAACAAAUCAAGUGAGCUGCAACCAAAACUACCCAACAAGGUGUGGCCUUUUGCACUGCGAGUUUUAUAUUGUUAUUGCGUUCAUGUUUAUGGUCAGGUUUGUAGAAAACCUUUCUCGAUUCUUGCUUUACCAUGGAGGUUGUCUACAAGGAUUCAGAAGACGACAAUUUGCUUCCACUGCAUUUGGAAGCAGCUGCUGGGAGCAUGGAAACCAUUGUAAGAACAUAAAGUUGAAGCUUAGAAAGAUGGAAGGAGUGGGUGGGGCUGGUCGCCUUGAAUCUGCGAGAUGCCUUCGCACCGGCGUGACGCUGAUGUUGUUUGCGGAGAGGUUUAAUCGUUUCAACCGAUUCAAAUGCAAAAGGGAGGUACACUCCCUCCUGAUGUUGAUGUUAAAUAAACUAUUGAAUGUUGGACUAUAAAAUAAUGGGAUCAAAAUUAGGAGAUCUAUAAAAAUGUAGUUUCGCUCAAAGAUGGGAUCAAACUUAGAACCUUAUAUAUUAGUUCCAUGACAUGCUCAAAGGGAUGUAUGAACCAAACCAUUAAUAUUACAUGUGAUUACUCCUCCCUGUGUCUUCCUUUGAUCCUUUCAUCU